CGGAGGAUCCAAGCGUUAUCCGGAUUUAUUGGGUUUAAAGGGUGCGUAGGCGGCUUAUUAAGUCAGGGGUGAAAGACGGUGGCUCAACCAUCGCAGUGCCCUUGAUACUGAUGAGCUUGAAUGGACUAGAGGUAGGCGGAAUGUGACAAGUAGCGGUGAAAUGCAUAGAUAUGUCACAGAACACCGAUUGCGAAGGCAGCUUACUAUGGUUUAAUUGACGCUGAGGCACGAAAGCGUGGGGAUCAAACAGGAUUAGAUACCCUGGUAGUCCACGCCCUAAACGAUGAAUACUCGCUGUUAGCGAUAUACAGUUAGCGGCUAAGCGAAGGCGUUAAGUAUUCCACCUGGGGAGUACGCCCGCAAGGGUG
This 368-nucleotide ribosomal RNA is filed under the name uncultured organism. RNAcentral describes it as "bacterial SSU rRNA". It matches the Rfam family "Bacterial small subunit ribosomal RNA", at positions 526 to 896 of the family's 1533-position model. The record is from RNAcentral.